UUGUGAGGAUUUGAUGAACAUUCAUGUCGGUUGUUUCACCACCUUGGGUAAAGGGAGAUACCCCGAUAAAGAGGCUUGUCACAAAAAUGUUCUUCUGAUUUCUGUGUUUUUUUUUCUUAAUUGAUCUACUGUAUUAAAGCACCGUUUUUCAAUAGAAAACUGAAAUUGAGACUUUACGAAAUUGAGACUUUAUUAAAGAGGC
RNAcentral lists this long non-coding RNA (202 nucleotides) under Bos taurus (domestic cattle). RNAcentral describes it as "long non-coding RNA NONBTAT015527". The record is from RNAcentral. Lineage: Eukaryota; Metazoa; Chordata; Mammalia; Artiodactyla; Bovidae.